This 402-nucleotide unclassified non-coding RNA is filed under the name fungal sp. RNAcentral describes it as "partial internal transcribed spacer region". The stretch from base 1 to 46 matches the Rfam family "Eukaryotic small subunit ribosomal RNA", at positions 1786 to 1831 of the family's 1831-position model. The record is from RNAcentral. Lineage: Eukaryota; Fungi.
AAGUCGUAACAAGGUAACCGUAGGUGAACCUGCGGUUGGAUCAUUACCAAUCCCAACCCCCCAGGAGGAGGGGGUGGUGAGUUGGGGUGGGUUGCUUGCAACUUUCCCCGCCGCCGCCUCCCUCUCCUACACCCCAUGUGCAACUUUCCUGUACUUGGCGGGCGCCUCCCCCCUCUUUCCAAGGCGGGGGGCCUCGCGGGUCGUGUCGUGCGCGGCAAACUUGCCACGCCGCACGCCUGACCGCCAGCCACCUUACAACACUUGCAACUUUUAUACUUACCUACUUACUCACAAAGUGGCAAGUGUUGUCUUCCCCCCCCCUCUCCUUACGGGGAAGGGCAAGGACAGCACACUGCCCAGCUAAUUGAGAAACAACUUUUGACAACGGAUCUCUUGGCUCUC